CCUACGGGCGGCAGCAGUGGGGGAUAUUGCACAAUGGGGGAAACCCUGAUGCAGCGACGCCGCGUGGGCGAAGAAGUAUUUCGGUAUGUAAAGCCCUAUCAGAAGGGAAGAAGAAAUGACGGUAUCUGAGUAAGACGCACCGGCUAAAUACGUGCCAGCAGGCGCGGUAAUAGGCAGGGUGCAAGCGUUAUCCGGAUUUACUGGGGGUAAAGGGAGCGCAGGCGGCACGGCAAGCCUGAUGGUAAAGGCCGCGGCCCAACCGCGGGACUGCAUUGGAAACUACCGGACUGGAGUGCCGGAGAGGUAGGCGGAAUUCCUAGUGUAGCGGUGAAAUGCGUAGAUAUUAGGAGGAACACCAGUGGCGAAGGCGGCCUACUGGACGGUGACUGACGCUGAGGCUCGAAAGCGUGGGGAGCAAACAGGAUUAGAUACCCCAGUAGUC
This 442-nucleotide ribosomal RNA is filed under the name uncultured bacterium. RNAcentral describes it as "partial 16S ribosomal RNA". It matches the Rfam family "Bacterial small subunit ribosomal RNA", at positions 338 to 795 of the family's 1533-position model. The record is from RNAcentral.